Molecule: ribosomal RNA, 898 nt
Filed under: Mycobacterium sp. Lor30
Lineage: Bacteria; Bacillati; Actinomycetota; Actinomycetes; Mycobacteriales; Mycobacteriaceae
Also listed under: 3 other names
Description: bacterial SSU rRNA
Rfam family: Bacterial small subunit ribosomal RNA
Source: RNAcentral
AGUCGAACGGUAAGGCCCUUCGGGGUACACGAGUGGCGAACGGGUGAGUAACACGUGGGUGAUCUGCCCUGCACUUCGGGAUAAGCUUGGGAAACUGGGUCUAAUACCGGAUAUGACUACGAAUCGCAUGGUUUGUGGUGGAAAGCUUUUGCGGUGUGGGAUGGGCCCGCGGCCUAUCAGCUUGUUGGUGGGGUGAUGGCCUACCAAGGCGACGACGGGUAGCCGGCCUGAGAGGGUGACCGGCCACACUGGGACUGAGAUACGGCCCAGACUCCUACGGGAGGCAGCAGUGGGGAAUAUUGCACAAUGGGCGCAAGCCUGAUGCAGCGACGCCGCGUGAGGGAUGACGGCCUUCGGGUUGUAAACCUCUUUCAGUAGGGACGAAGCGCAAGUGACGGUACCUAUAGAAGAAGGACCGGCCAACUACGUGCCAGCAGCCGCGGUAAUACGUAGGGUCCGAGCGUUGUCCGGAAUUACUGGGCGUAAAGAGCUCGUAGGUGGUUUGUCGCGUUGUUCGUGAAAACUCACAGCUCAACUGUGGGCGUGCGGGCGAUACGGGCAGACUGGAGUACUGCAGGGGAGACUGGAAUUCCUGGUGUAGCGGUGGAAUGCGCAGAUAUCAGGAGGAACACCGGUGGCGAAGGCGGGUCUCUGGGCAGUAACUGACGCUGAGGAGCGAAAGCGUGGGGAGCGAACAGGAUUAGAUACCCUGGUAGUCCACGCCGUAAACGGUGGGUACUAGGUGUGGGUUUCCUUCCUUGGGAUCCGUGCCGUAGCUAACGCAUUAAGUACCCCGCCUGGGGAGUACGGCCGCAAGGCUAAAACUCAAAGAAAUUGACGGGGGCCCGCACAAGCGGCGGAGCAUGUGGAUUAAUUCGAUGCAACGCGAAGAACCUUA